RNAcentral lists this transfer RNA (85 nucleotides) under Felis catus (domestic cat). It matches the Rfam family "tRNA". From Rfam's summary of the family: Transfer RNA (tRNA) molecules are approximately 80 nucleotides in length. Their secondary structure includes four short double-helical elements and three loops (D, anti-codon, and T loops). Further hydrogen bonds mediate the characteristic L-shaped molecular structure. tRNAs have two regions of fundamental functional importance: the anti-codon, which is responsible for specific mRNA codon recognition, and the 3' end, to which the tRNAs corresponding amino acid is attached (by aminoacyl-tRNA synthetases). tRNAs cope with the degeneracy of the genetic code in two manners: having more than one tRNA (with a specific anti-codon) for a particular amino acid; and 'wobble' base-pairing, i.e. permitting non-standard base-pairing at the 3rd anti-codon position. The record is from Rfam by way of RNAcentral. Lineage: Eukaryota; Metazoa; Chordata; Mammalia; Carnivora; Felidae.
GCCCGGGUGGCUCAGGCGGUUGAGCGUCCGACUUCAGCUCAGGUCAUGGUCCCGCAGUUUGUGAGUUCGAGCCCCACAUCGGGCU